CCACAUCCGCAUCCUUUGCUGAGGAUACGGUUAACGGAGCGAAAGCGACGUUCAACCGCAAAACAAGCAGAGGGGGCUUAGUGGUGGGGUGACUGCGUACCUUUUGUAUAAUGGGUCAGCGACUUAUAUUCUGUAGCAAGGUUAACCGAAUAGGGGAGCCGGAGGGAAACCGAGUCUUAAUUGGGCGUUAAGUUGCAGGGUAUAGACCCGAAACCCGGUGAUCUAGCCAUGGGCAGGUUGAAGGUUGGGUAACACUAACUGGAGGACCGAACCGACUAAUGUUGAAAAAUUAGCGGAUGACCUGUGGCUGGGGGUGAAAGGCCAAUCAAACCGGGAGAUAGCUGGUUCUCCCCGAAAGCUAUUUAGGUAGCGCCUCGUGAAUUCAUCUCCGGGGGUAGAGCACUGUUUCGGCUAGGGGGCCAUCCCGGCUUACCAACCCGAUGCAAACUGCGAAUACCGGAGAAUGUUAUCACGGGAGACACACGGCGGGUGCUAACGUCCGUCGUGAAGAGGGAAACAACCCAGACCGCCAGCUAAGGUCCCAAAGUCAUGGUUAAGUGGGAAACGAUGUGGGAAGGCCCAGACAGCCAGGAUGUUGGCUUAGAAGCAGCCAUCAUUUAAAGAAAGCGUAAUAGCUCACUGGUCGAGUCGGCCUGCGCGGAAGAUGUAACGGGGCUAAACCAUGCACCGAAGCUGCGGCAGCGAACGUAUCACCCAAGACAACUUUACGGAGUUGACGAUUGACGGAGCGAAGCGACGUCAAAGCGUUCAUUAAAGUCGAGUUGGCUUAGGGAUACGUUCGUUGGGUAGGGGAGCGUUCUGUAAGCCUGUGAAGGUGUGUCGUGAGGCAUGCUGGAGGUAUCAGAAGUGCGAAUGCUGACAUAAGUAACGAUAAAGCGGGUGAAAAGCCCGCUCGCCGGAAGACCAAGGGUUCCUGUCCAACGUUAAUCGGGGCAGGGUGAGUCGACCCCUAAGGCGAGGCCGAAAGGCGUAGUCGAUGGGAAACGGGUUAAUAUUCCCGUACUUGGUGUUACUGCGAAGGGGGGACGGAGAAGGCUAUGUUGGCCGGGCGACGGUUGUCCCGGUUUAAGCGUGUAGGUGUGUGUUCCAGGUAAAUCCGGUUCACUUUAACACUGAGGCGUGACGACGAGGCACUACGGUGCUGAAGCAACAAAUGCCCUGCUUCCAGGAAAAGCCUCUAAGCAUCAGGUAACACGAAAUCGUACCCCAAACCGACACAGGUGGUCAGGUAGAGAAUACCAAGGCGCUUGAGAGAACUCGGGUGAAGGAACUAGGCAAAAUGGUGCCGUAACUUCGGGAGAAGGCACGCUGACACGUAGGUGAAGUGAUUUACUCAUGGAGCUGAAGUCAGUCGAAGAUACCAGCUGGCUGCAACUGUUUAUUAAAAACACAGCACUGUGCAAACACGAAAGUGGACGUAUACGGUGUGACGCCUGCCCGGUGCCGGAAGGUUAAUUGAUGGGGUCAGCG
Molecule: ribosomal RNA, 1491 nt
Filed under: Salmonella enterica
Lineage: Bacteria; Pseudomonadati; Pseudomonadota; Gammaproteobacteria; Enterobacterales; Enterobacteriaceae
Description: partial 23S ribosomal RNA
Rfam family: Bacterial large subunit ribosomal RNA
Source: RNAcentral